This 754-nucleotide long non-coding RNA is filed under the name Calidris pugnax (ruff). Its description in RNAcentral is "lncRNA (ENSCPUG00000016866.1)". Lineage: Eukaryota; Metazoa; Chordata; Aves; Charadriiformes; Scolopacidae. The record is from RNAcentral.
GCCAUGUCCUACCAACCCAAGAAACUUCAACCAGGAAUUACCAACAGGCAGAUUACAACAAUCAUUUUCCAAAUUAUAGUAACCAACCACAUUUUCUGCGAAUAUGAUUUUGGAUUCCAGUGCAGAAUACAGCAAAUUCCCUACUUGACGUUGCUGGUACUUCAUUAAACAGAGGAUGAGAGAUUUGACAGCUGGAAUUACUACAGGAAUCUUCAGAAGACCCCUGCUAUGCCCCUUAGAUGUGUAUGACAGAGUCAUUAAAUCAUUGCACACAGGUAAGCAGGUAUUUCAGAAAGCCCUUCAUUAGCUCUUACACAAGCCAGCUUUGUCUCCUCUUUCCUUAGAGAACUUUUAUACAAAUCUGACCUUCUUGUCCUUACUUAUAGUUUUGAUUGUAUUUUUUCUGAGUUAUCCCACAUUUGCAUUUCAUGUUAAAGACAAAAUGAAGGGAUUUAGGCACUUCAUGUGGGAGGAUAUGGAUCAUUUCUCCUAAACUUACACUAAAGCAGAAAAAGGGAAAGAGAGUAAAAGUAGGUUUGUUCCUGCCAGGAAGAAAAUGAAGUGUGCUCAAUCCUUAUGUUUUUCAUUCCAUGCAUCUCAGUGGGAAGCCCCUUACCAUAUAUCUAUGUCUAGUUUUGUUUGUGUUUAUUAGGGGUAGUGGAGAACCUUCUAAGCUACAUUUUGCUUGCUCUACCACUAAUGCUGCCACGUGGGCACUUAUUUAUGUAGCAAGGCAAGAGUCAUUAGUUUGGGG